This 497-nucleotide ribosomal RNA is filed under the name uncultured bacterium. Its description in RNAcentral is "partial 16S ribosomal RNA". It matches the Rfam family "Bacterial small subunit ribosomal RNA", at positions 28 to 507 of the family's 1533-position model. The record is from RNAcentral.
GAUGAACGCUGGCGGCGUGCCUAAUACAUGCAAGUCGAGCGAACGGACGAGAAGCUUGCUUCUCUGAUGUUAGCGGCGGACGGGUGAGUAACACGUGGAUAACCUACCUAUAAGACUGGGAUAACUUCGGGAAACCGUAGCUAAUACCGGAUAAUAUUUUGAACCGCAUUGUUCAAUAGUGAAAGACGGCCUUGCUGUCACUUCUAGAUGCAUCCGCGCUGCAUUAGCUAGUUGGUAAGUUAACGGCUUACCAAGGCAACGAUGCAUAGCCGACCUAAGAGGGUGUUCGGCCGCACUAGAACUUGGACACGGUCCAGGGGCCUACGGGAGGGAGCAGAAGGGAAUCGUCCGCAAUGGGCGAAAGCCUGGCGGAGCAACGCCGCGUGAGUGAUGAAGGUCUUCGGAUCGUAAAACUCUGUUAUUAGGGAAGAACAUAUGUGUAAGUAACUGUGCACAUCUUGACGGUAACUAAUCAGAAAGCCACGGCUAACUACGUG